UGAUAAAUAUUAAUUUAUCGAUAAAUUAAUACCUCUCUAAAUUAAUAAAAUUUUGUAGUCCCAACAUUAUUAAUUUAUAGAGGUUUUACUGUAGCUUGAAUUUUAACUUUCUA
RNAcentral lists this small RNA (113 nucleotides) under Arabidopsis thaliana (thale cress). Its description in RNAcentral is "ATSL219130". The record is from RNAcentral. Lineage: Eukaryota; Viridiplantae; Streptophyta; Magnoliopsida; Brassicales; Brassicaceae.